UGUACUGUAACUAACACACCAGGCCCUUGACAAAUACUUUGCUUAGUGAUUAUUAUUUUGUUUUAGUGAUGGGCAUGGCUUGGGUUCUGCUGGCUGCCCUGGACCACCUUGGCAGAUUACCCAAGGGAAAAGUAGACACGUGUAUUUCCACUGGAGGUACUUCAAGCUUUAAAAUAAGAAGUCAAGGAAGUGAAGGACUACAGCCACAUCCCAGCCCUCCAAAGAACUGUCCUGCAAAAAAGGCUGUCGUCCAGACUGGAGCGCUGAGCCAUCAGUGAGCUCAGGAAACCAGAUGAUCCCAGGCGUCUAGGAGUUGUUUGUGGUAUUCUUGCACCACCCUCACAAGUGUUGUUGCAGACACAAGUCAGCAGAGAAAUACAGCUUGCCUUAGGUGAAACUGAAUAUGUGAAAUAUAUACAUAACCCAAUUACUCAGUAUGUUUGUGUAUUGUUGGUGAUGAAAACCUGAUCCUGCCCUCUGAUGUACUGCAAAUAAUGACUGACACUGAGUUCCAGCUUCUUCUACUAGAGCUUCUACCACCGGGGUCCUGACAAAAUACGUUCAAAUAUACAUUACGUAGAUAUGUGAUUUGUAAAAAUGUUUUAUAUCGGACUAAAAAUAAAGCAUUAUAAUAGUCUCAA
Molecule: long non-coding RNA, 641 nt
Organism: Sander lucioperca (pikeperch)
Lineage: Eukaryota; Metazoa; Chordata; Actinopteri; Perciformes; Percidae
Exons: 2
Source: RefSeq, a predicted model, not a curated record